CCUACGGGAGGCAGCAGUGAGGAAUAUUGGUCAAUGGUCGGGAGACUGAACCAGCCAAGCCGCGUGAGGGAUGAAGGUACAGAGUAUCGUAAACCUCUUUUGUCAGGGAACAAAGGCGGGGACGUGUCCCCGGAUGAGUGUACCUGAAGAAAAAGCAUCGGCUAACUCCGUGCCAGCAGCCGCGGUAAUACGGAGGAUGCGAGCGUUAUCCGGAUUUAUUGGGUUUAAAGGGUGCGCAGGCGGUCUGUUAAGUCAGCGGUCAAAGCCCGGGGCUCAACCCCGGCCCGCCAUUGAAAGUGGCAGUCGCGAGUUGGAGAGAAGUAUGCGGAAUGCGCGGUGUAGCGGUGAAAUGCAUAGAUAUCGCGCAGAACUCCGAUUGCGAAGGCAGCAUGCCGGCUCCACACUGACGCUGAGGCACGAAAGCGUGGGUAUCGAACAGGAUUAGAUACCCCUGUAGUC
RNAcentral lists this ribosomal RNA (459 nucleotides) under uncultured bacterium. RNAcentral's name for it is "partial 16S ribosomal RNA". It matches the Rfam family "Bacterial small subunit ribosomal RNA", at positions 338 to 795 of the family's 1533-position model. The record is from RNAcentral.